GAGCUAUCUCUCAAAACUGCACUUCUUCUUGCUCUUGCUUCGGCUAAGCACAUAGGGGAUUUACAUGCGUUUUCUGUGGACAGUGAUUGUAUUCGCUUUGGACCCGGUGACUCCAUCUACUCCCUUCAGAGCGCAAACUGUUUGGCUCUCUGCCCUGUCUUCUGAGUCAUCGACCUUGUGUGAUGCAGACACUCAGAUUUUGGUGUGCCCUUUCAGGGCUUUGAGGACUUACAUUGACCGUUUGGCCAGCUUACGGCAGUCUGACCAGCUUUUCGUGUGCCACUGUGGUUGUAUGAAGGGCCGGGCCGUGUCAAAACAGAGACUUUCCUACUGGAUUGUGGACGCUAUCACGGCUGCUUAUACUGUACGAGCCAAGGUUUGGAAUGCCCCUUUCACAUUAGGGCCCACACAACAAGAGCUAUCACUUCCUCAUGGGCAUGGUCAAGAGGAUAUAUGUCUUGCAGCUGACUGGUCUUCUCAGAAUACCUUUGUCAGGUUUUACAAGCUGAACGUUCAGUCCUUAGCUUCCGAAGUACUGUCGGAGCUGUUAUGUGCUAAGAUGGAAAAAAGUUUAAUGUCACUAUAAAAAGUGGCUAACUGAGGUGUAAUGGUCUGUGUAUUUAUGUCCAUUAAAAAAG
Long non-coding RNA from Cyprinus carpio carpio, 638 nucleotides. Lineage: Eukaryota; Metazoa; Chordata; Actinopteri; Cypriniformes; Cyprinidae. The record is from Ensembl.